UACGUAGGGUGCGAGCGUUAAUCGGAAUUACUGGGCGUAAAGCGUGCGCAGGCGGCUUUGCAAGACAGAUGUGAAAGCCCCGGGCUCAACCUGGGAAUUGCAUUUGUGACUGCAAGGCUAGAGUACGGCAGAGGGGGAUGGAAUUCCGCGUGUAGCAGUGAAAUGCGUAGAUAUGCGGAGGAACACCAAUGGCGAAGGCAAUCCCCUGGGCCUGUACUGACGCUCAUGCACGAAAGCGUGGGGAGCAAACAGG
RNAcentral lists this ribosomal RNA (253 nucleotides) under uncultured bacterium. RNAcentral describes it as "partial 16S ribosomal RNA". It matches the Rfam family "Bacterial small subunit ribosomal RNA", at positions 524 to 776 of the family's 1533-position model. The record is from RNAcentral.